Molecule: ribosomal RNA, 473 nt
Filed under: uncultured bacterium
Lineage: Bacteria
Description: SSU rRNA
Rfam family: Bacterial small subunit ribosomal RNA
Source: RNAcentral
AGAACGAACGCUGGCGGCAUGCCUAACACAUGCAAGUCGAACGCUCCUUGGGCUUCGGUCUCAGGGGAGUGGCGCACGGGUGAGUAGCGCGUGGGAACCUGCCCUGUUGUGGGGGAUAACCGAGGGAAACUUCGGCUAAUACCGCAUAAGCCGGUUGUCUUGAAAGAGAUGACCGGGAAAGAUUUAUCGCGACAGGAGGGGCCCGCGUCGGAUUAGCUAGUUGGUGGGGUAACGGCCCACCAAGGCAGUGAUCCGUAGCUGGUCUGAGAGGAUGAUCAGCCACACUGGGACUGAGACACGGCCCAGACUCCUACGGAGGCAGCAGUGGGGAAUAUUGGACAAUGGGCGCAAGCCUGAUCCAGCAAUGCCGCGUGAGUGAUGAAGGCCUUAGGGUUGUAAAGCUCUUUCGCCCGCGACGAUGAUGACGGUAGCGGGAGAAGAAGCCCGGCUAACUUCGCGCCAGCAGCCGCGGU